GACGGAGUCCAAAGAAGCCGUGCACAUUCGACCGCCCAAAUCGACGCCCAAACUUCGGUGAGUUUUGACCGUCUUCUCGAGCAAGUAAAGAUCUGAAGACCAUCCGAGAGAAACCCUAGUUUCAUGCCUUUAGUUCCUUCAGGGAUUCAAUCUUAUGAACGACAGAGGUCGAGAGAAUGGCUUGGCUUUGAAGCCGACCAAACUUGGACCCCACCAUCUUUCAACCGAGACCCACGAUCAAAAGGCCAAG
Molecule: long non-coding RNA, 250 nt
Filed under: Eucalyptus grandis
Lineage: Eukaryota; Viridiplantae; Streptophyta; Magnoliopsida; Myrtales; Myrtaceae
Description: long non-coding RNA (EGRA_LNC006523)
Source: RNAcentral